Anthonomus grandis grandis is the source of this 472-nucleotide long non-coding RNA. RefSeq lists it as uncharacterized. The record is from RefSeq and is a predicted model, not a curated record. Lineage: Eukaryota; Metazoa; Arthropoda; Insecta; Coleoptera; Curculionidae. The transcript is spliced from 3 exons.
CUUGGCUUCUAUGGGAGCUAUCGGGAAAAUUCCAACGGUUUUGUCUUAGUUUCGUCCUUCUAAAUCCAACGAGACCAUCCGCAAGGUCGUAGCUUCCAUAUUAGCUGAGAUCUCGCAUUUUUGUAGCCCAUUUUUGGGCUCAAAAACGGGGUAAAAAAUUGACUUUUUUCCGAAUUUUCAAAGAGCUAUAAUUCCACUUGUUCUGGUCGAAUUCCGUUAUAACCCGGUGUUUUCGUAAUGUAGGUGAUGGGAAUAAGCCGCUGAUAGGGGUUUCUAAAGCAAUUUUUGGGUUUAAAGAAAAUCGAUUUUUCGCAUUUUCAAAGUGCUAUAAUUCCCUUAGUUUUUAUCGAAACUCAUUAUAACCCGGUGUUUUCGUGUUGUAGGUGAUGGGAACAAGCCGCUGGUAUAGUUAAUUCAAAUUCGAAAAAAAUCAAUUUUUGGUGAAAAAUUCGAUACGGGGGGGUAUACCCGA